Molecule: long non-coding RNA, 3127 nt
Filed under: Nicotiana benthamiana
Lineage: Eukaryota; Viridiplantae; Streptophyta; Magnoliopsida; Solanales; Solanaceae
Description: long non-coding RNA (NBEN_LNC041022)
Source: RNAcentral
UCCACAACUCAAACAGCCCGCGUGAGGAUCAUAGCCUAUCGGAAGAAGAAUGAAGUACCUAAUCUAAAUUUCAUAUUCAUCCCUAUGACCUAUUCAGACAAGUAACAAUUUUAACAAAAUAAAGGUUAACUAAAAAAAGUGAAAAUCGAUUUUCGAACCAGUACAUUAAAAUAUUCACACAUCAAUGAAAAAUGAGAUCUGAAAUUACAAAUGGACAAAGUUGGAAUAUAACUUUAAAUAAAGCAAGGAAAUCUGAAACAUAGGACCACAAUUAAACUACUGGAAUAAGAAAAAAACGGCACCAACUCUCAUUUUAAUAUAGAAAACCAAAAGCAACUUUUUAGCAAUUUUAAAAUCAAUUCAAUGAAUUCCAUGGAUUAAUGAAGCACAUAUUUGAAAGCUUAAAGGAACAGAGGUUAUAAACAUCACCUCAGCAAAACUGGAAGCAAACAAAUACCCGAGGACAAGAAGAUCAACACGAAAUAACAGUAAUCAAAAAGAAGAACGGACCACACCCCUUGAAAAUAUUCAAUAAAAUCAGAAUGACGACGAAUGAGAACCUCGAACGGAAAAUGAAGCGCUUCGUCGGAGUCUCAACGAAACUCGACCAAACUGCUUUGAACUCGGCUAUAACGGACGCCUUAACUCAGAAGUUACGAAGCAGAGAAGCAGAAAUUGAAACGGCGAUGCUGCUGGUAUUUUCAGCUGUUGAGAAUUGAAAAUUUUGUUUUAUUAUUUUUAGCUGUUUGUUUGAGUUCUCAAUCCCUUCUGAGUGCUGUUCAAUUUCCGAUUUAUAUUUCCAUGCGUGUGUGCUUUGAUUAUGGAGAGUAAGAUGAGAGUGAGCAAGGGAGGAGAAAGGAAUGACGAUGCCUUCAGAGGUGCUCGUUUUUUUUUUGGUUUUUUUAGAGAAAAAUUUCAGAAGCAAAAGAGAGAUCCCUUUUUUGGCGUUAUUUUUUGUGUUUGCUUCCGUCCAUUCUUUUUUUGUAAUUUUUUGGGUCGUUUUUCUUUUGUAAUUUUUCGUGUCCUCUCUUUAAUUUGUGAGGCAAAUGGUUUUUAUAGAGAGUGUGGGAUGGGGUGUUAUGUGAGAGAGUUUUAUUUGAGGAUGAGGUGUUAUGUGAGGAAUGUUUUCGAGGGGAAGGUUUUAGGUAGAGGAAUAUUUUGGGGAAAGAUCUUAGGUGGGUAGAAAUGAUGAUUUUAUAUAAGUAAAAAGAUAGACAUAAUUUUUCGUGAAAAAAGGAAGAGUAUUUCAAAUGUGGGGAUUGUGUAACUGACAUCCUAUAUUUAAGGUAUUUUUCAUUUGCUCCUUUUUUUAUGGUUUUGUAAACUAAUAAAUAUAAAUAUAAUUAAUAAUUAAUAAGGAAUCUAAAUAAAUAUAAUAAUAAGUUUCUACUAUAGCAUAGCUAGGUAAAAGUCCCAUAAAUCCAGUUGUGUUAGUCUUUAAUUAACUUUUGUGGCGGUUUCCUUAGAAGCUUAAAUUGGUCAGCUUUAUAUUUAAGGGACUAUCAUCAUUUCAUAGAAAUGAAGGAGAAAAUUAUAUAUUUUUUGACCCCACACAAUCUAAAAUUCGGAGCACAUUCAAAGUUGCUUUUGCAUCAUUAUCUUACAGAAGAUGUGCUAGCUGCAGGAACAAAUUGAAAGGAAAAAAGCACACUAUAAUAUCCAAUUUGCUAUCUAACGUGACAUAUUGUCUAUUGUCAAUUUGUCUUUGAAAAGAUUUUACCUAACAAUGCAAAGCCAAUGUGAAAUAAUUGAAAGGGUAAGAAUCUCUCCUUUAGGAGAAAAUAAAGAGGCAUAAUAUGAAACAAUACUCAUUACUAAAAUCAUAGCAUGAGCUUUAAAAGGGAGUACCACUUCCACUCCUAGUUUCAGCAGGGCUGUACAAAGCAGAUCGGUUUCUCGGUCUGUUCUCCUCUAACUGCCGUACGACUUCUUCCAUCGACGGUCUAACGGUAGCCACAGGAGCACAACAACCCAUCGCAAGUCUCAAUGCUUGUACCAAACCUUCUUCCAUUGGAUUCCUAAUUCCCUUCAGAAGCUCCACGUCGAAUACCUCCAUCGUUGUUUCCUCCAAAACGGCUACUUUCACUAGUGCAGGCAAAUCAACAUUGUCGCCAUUCUUUCCAGGCUUCUUUCCUAGCAGAAUCUCCAGUAGUAGGAUUCCAAAAGCGUAAACAUCAGUUCUCGAAUUGCACUUCUUCAUCCUUUGCAGCUCAGGUGGCUUGUAACCAUCAGCUUUUGCUAGUGCUAUGAUUUCAUCAGCUACAGCUGGGAUCAUUAUCUUGUCAAGUCCAAAUUCAGUAAGCCUCGCAACGAAGAAUUCAUCAACAAGAACAUUCUUUGACCUAACAUUCCCAUGGGUAAUGGGUGUUUCCAGACCAUGAAGGUGUGCUAGUCCUCUGGCUAUGCCCAAUGCUAUUUUGUGUCGCCUAGCCCAAUUCAAUACUGGCUUCCCAACUCUUGAUUCUGAACACAAUCAGGAUAUAUCAUAAUCAAAUUACUGAUAAAAAAUAUAUCCUAAUCAAAUUUACUUGUCCUUUAAUGUUAUCAUUCACAAUACAGAAACAGCCACAAUAAUUGUGACUAUAUUAGGUUCUGAAAGUCAAAUGGUGCGAUUCAUACUAUCCAAAAUCCACUUUACAAGGAUUUUGAUCACCUAUACCUUCAUUUACCACAAUUUCCCAAUAGUUCUUCCUAUGCCUCAUGGAUAUUCUUUAAGACUGAGUGAUGGUGCAAAACUUGCAUAGCAAAUCAAGGUUGAAAGAACGAUGAAACAGCCACAAAAUCUUUAGAAUACAUGAAGCUUGUAAAAGAAUGAGUGAAGCUUACUCGUCCAAGCUUAAAUGCUGGGAAAUAAGCUAUGAUCAGUUGAUCUAGGGCUACAUAGUUCUUGAAAGUAAAUAAUAGACGCAUGGUUGACCUUGGCAUCUAAUAGUGAUAUCCGUAGUCUAGAGAUAAUGAGCUAUUUUUUCUUUUGUUGGAUGAGUAAGCAAAUAUAAUUUACAACAUGAUGGGGUUGGUUUUUUUCUAGCCUUAUCUUGAUUUUUCCAACUUUUGGAUACGUUACAUUUUGAUGAUAAUUUUAUUCAUUUUGUAUUUCAACGUUAAUUUCAGCAAGUCAAUUUGGCUG